CCCUUAGAUGUUCUGGGCUGCACGCGUGCUACAAUGGCGCUUGCAACAAGUCUUGCCAACCCGAUAGGGUGAGCGGAUCUUUGAAGAGGCGUCGUGAUCGGAACAGUUGAUUGCAAUUAUUCGACUCGAACGAGGAAUUCCUUGUAAUCGCGAUUCAUCAUAUCGCGCUGAAUACGUCCCUGCCCUUUGUACACACCGCCCGUCGCUCCUACCGAUUGAGCGAUCCGGUGAAUGUUUUGGACUGGCGUCAGAAGCGGUUCGCUCCUGACACUACGAAAUUUUGUAAACCUUAUCGCUUAGAGGAAGGAAAAGUCGUAACA
RNAcentral lists this ribosomal RNA (320 nucleotides) under uncultured eukaryote. Its description in RNAcentral is "partial 18S ribosomal RNA". It matches the Rfam family "Eukaryotic small subunit ribosomal RNA", at positions 1470 to 1796 of the family's 1831-position model. The record is from RNAcentral.